This 1467-nucleotide ribosomal RNA is filed under the name Triticum aestivum (bread wheat). RNAcentral's name for it is "partial small subunit ribosomal RNA". The record is from RNAcentral. Lineage: Eukaryota; Viridiplantae; Streptophyta; Magnoliopsida; Poales; Poaceae.
AUGAAAUGGCCUGUCAAAACGGCUGAUCUGAGCUACAACGUGGCUGAGAUCAGUGGCGUGCUGUCGACGGAACAUUUUGCAAACCUAGUGAGCUUAGAAUAUCUUGACCUUUCACACAACUCUCUGACAUUGGAUCUAAACGGCAACUGGGUUCCACCGUUUAGACUGGAUACAGGAUACUUCAGAUCAUGUAACUUGGGCCCUCGAUUCCCGACGUGGCUGAGAUGGCAAGCUGGCAUAACUCAGCUUGAUAUUUCCAACGCAAGCAUAAGUGAUGUCUUGCCUGAAUGGUUCUGGACUGUUUCUUCUCAUGCUUCAGUGUUGUACUUGUCAAGGAAUGAACUGAGUGGGGCCUUUCCAGCACAGUUGGAUCUACCAUCGAUUCAAUUAAUGGAUCUCUCAAAAAAUUCCCUGUCAGGGAAGCUCCCAGCAAAUCUCACAGCUCCGGUACUCGUUCAGUUGCAUCUUUCGAGCAAUCAUAUCGAAGGUACCAUCCCACCAUAUGUGUGUCAAUUGAAUCAUUUGUUGGAACUGGAUCUGUCGAGCAAUCAACUGACAGGGGAUUUUCCAAGAUGCCCAGAAAAUAUUACAUGGAGUCCCGAUUUCACAUAUUGUGUUCAAUUCGGUUGUUCCUUGUCGAUUCUAGACUUGAAGAAUAACAAGUUGUCAGGCAAAUUCCCAGACUUCCUCCAAAAUGCCUCAUGGUUAAGUUUUCUUGACCUUUCGCGCAAUGUAUUCGCUGGUAGUUUGCCAACAUGGAUAGAUGAGAAAAUGCCAAGCCUAGAAGUGUUGGUUCUACGAUCAAACAUGUUCUCUGGACACCUUCCUAGGCAGUUUGCAAAUCUGCCCAGUCUUCAUUACUUGGAUGUGGCACAUAACAACAUAUCAGGAAGGAUACCUUCUUCUCUUGGGAGACUGAAAGCUAUGACAGGUGAAUCCGAAGGAAGCAAAAAUAAUUACAGCCACGACAGCAUAAUGACUGUCACGAAAGACCAGGAGCGUCAAUACACCCUUGAUUUCGCAAACCCCAUUGUGCUGAUUGACCUGUCAUGUAACAGUCUAACUGGACAUAUUCCGGAGGAACUAUCUUUUCUCAAGGGACUUCAGACGCUGAAUCUCUCCGGCAACCAACUAGAUGGAAGAAUCGUGGAUGGUAUCGGCGCCUUAAGGAAAUUGGAAUCUCUGGACCUAUCCUACAACAGUUUGGCCGGCGAAAUCCCGUCAGGUUUAUCUGACCUCACAUUUCUGAGCUGGCUAAACUUGUCCUACAAUGAUCUAUCAGGAAGAAUCCCCUCGGGGAGGCAGCUACAGACACUCAAUGAUCCAUGUAUAUACGUCGGCAACCAUGGGCUCUGUGGGCCUCCUCUCGCCAACAAUUGUUCAAAUGGAGCAAACCCAAGUGCCCAUGAAGAACAUGAAGGUGCACCUAAUGAUACAACAUAUUUGUUCCUUGGCAUAAGCACCUAA